Oncorhynchus tshawytscha (Chinook salmon) is the source of this 2179-nucleotide long non-coding RNA. The record is from Ensembl. Lineage: Eukaryota; Metazoa; Chordata; Actinopteri; Salmoniformes; Salmonidae.
CAGAGUGAUUACAAUUGCACUAGAAUUGUUUUUUUUGUAUGAUCUAAGAAUGUAAAUUGUUGAUCUAUAUUUGAAUAAAAAAAAUAAAAAACCCUAGCACCCCUAGCCAUAAAAUUGACAGCAUGCCAACGCGGAUUGCAGAGGUCUUGAAAAAAAUAUAUAUUUGUGUCAUUCUUAACUUUUGCCCGGUGGCCAUUUUGAUGAAUUGUUCAGCAGUCUUAUGGCUUGUGGGUAGAAGCUGUUAAGGAGCCUUUUGGUCGAAGACUUGGCGCUCCGGUACCGCUUGCCAUGCGGUAGCAGAGAAAACAGUCUUUGACUUGGGUGACUGGAGUCUGUGACAAUCUUAUGGGCUUUCCUCGACACCGCCUAUUAUAUAGGUCCUGGAUGGCAGGAAACUUGGCCCCAGUGAUGUACUGGGCCAUACGCACUACCUUCUGUAGCGUCUUACGGUCAGAUGCCAUACCAGGCGGUGAUGCAACCGAUGGCACAGCUGUAGAACUUUUUGAGAAUCUGGGGACCCAUGCCAAAUAUUUUCAGUCUCCUGAGGGGGAAAUGUUUUGUCGUGCCCUCUUCGACUGUCUUGGUGUGUUUGGACCAUGAUAGUUUGUUGGUGAUGUGGACACCAAGGAACUUGAAACUCUCAACCUGCUACAAUUCAGCACCGUCGAUGUUAAUGGGGGCCUGUAGUCCACAAUCAGCUCCCUUGUCUUGCUCACACUGAGGGAGAGGUUGUUGUCCUGGCACCACACUGCCAGUUCUCUGAUCUCCUCCCUAUAGGCUGUCUCAUCGUUGUCUGUGAUCAGGCCUACGACUGUUGUGUCGUCAGCAAACUUAAUGAUGGUGUUGGAGUCGUGUUUGGCCAUGCAGUCGUGGGUGAAAAGUGAGUACAGGAGGGGACUAAGUACACACCCCUGAGGGGCCCCAGUGUUGAGGAUCAGCGUGGCAGACGUGUUGUUGCCUACCCUUACCACAUGGGGGCGGCCCGUCAGGAAGUCCAGGAUCCAGUUGCAGAGACCCUACCAGUCAACACCACCUCGUAAGAUGACGAAGUACAUUGCCUGCUGCAGUUGUUCGAGAGAGGUCCAGUUUCAUGCAACAUAGAAAAGACCAGCAAGGGGACCCUCAGAAACACACAGACAUGCCCUUCCUGUGAGCAUUCCUAUAAAUGGAACAGUGUCGACACUUGAAUCAGUAUCUUUGAGGGGCCAGGAGCUCAUCUACGCUGCCAUGCCCAUCAAUGGGGCGCUGGCAAAGAACUUACCUCCAGCCUCACUUCUUGCCUGCUUACUAAUGGUCAUCAAUGGAGAGAUGCAUCUAUUGACCCAGCACUAGGAGACUUGCAAGAUGAUGUGAUGAAGUCCAGACUGACAUACGGGCUUCAUACUGAUGUCUCUAAAUGGAGAGAGACCUGACACAGCAUGAACAUUUUACUAGACAAAUUUUACUAGUUGUCUUUUUUUAUUAUUGAAUUGUAUCAGUCAAUAUGGGGAGGGAGAAACCCAGUGUAUUCUGCACCAGGAUCAGGUAACUCCUGGUGUAUACAGGACACCAUAUAGGAAGGUAUGACCACUCUGACAUGUUUACCAAGGUAGCCCAAUUAUCACCAGACAAAAUGUUGAUAGGCACAGUAUCUGUAUCGGCAGGGAAUGACAAUGAAUGAUGAAAGGUGCACCUUGUUAUAUUAGCAGGACACUGAUUCUAUGGUUUUAUGUAAAUGGUUGUUUAUUCUACAUGGACCUGUUACUACAUUUGAAUGUUAUCAAAACACUUAGUUUAGAAUAUCUACAUACAUUAUUUUUAUUUACCUUUAUUUAACUUGGCAUUCUUAUUUACAAUGACGGCCUACCAAAAUGCCUCCUGCGGGGAAGGAGGCUGCAAUUAUUAUUAUUAAAAGAAUAAUUAAACACGCAUCAUGACGAGAGACAACACAACACUACAUAAAGCGAGACCUAAGACAACAACAUAGCAUGGCAGCAACACAUGAAAACAAAGCAUGGUAGCAACACAACAUGACAACAACAUGGUAUCAACACAGCAUGGCAGCAGCACAACAUGGUAGCAGCACAAAACAAGGUACAAACAUUAUUGGGCACAGACAACAGCACAAAGGGCAAGAAGGUAGAGACAACAAUACAUCAUGCAAAGCAGCCACAACUGCCAGUAAGAGUGUCCGUCUUUG